Long non-coding RNA from Papaver somniferum (opium poppy), 1118 nucleotides. RefSeq lists it as uncharacterized. The transcript has 4 exons. The record is from RefSeq and is a predicted model, not a curated record. Lineage: Eukaryota; Viridiplantae; Streptophyta; Magnoliopsida; Ranunculales; Papaveraceae.
CGGUCCGCCACAUCUGGGCGAAUGGAUCCCUAACGAAAGAUUACGUACUGAUAUGGCGGGAUUAUUCGACUUUCUGACGGUCGAGUCAAUUUCUAAUCGAAAGUUUACGAUCUUAAUCCCUAGAUUUGGAAGAGAGGAAAAAAUUGUUGGUCGAGCAUAGGAGACGAAGCGAGACAAUUUGAAGCCAGAUGCUUAAACCCUAGACUGGAAAUGGACAGCUCUCCUGUAAAAUGUAUACUCACUAUCUGCACCGCCGAGCUGACCGACUGCGUCAAUGAAGCGUUCAUGAAGCUCUGGUGUCCAUUUCAAUCGCGGCUUAGCAUCAGUUGAUAGAACCAGUCCUGUAUCUACCCGGCCAUUUCCACCAUGCAUGAGCAUAUGCCUUUCUUGAGGAACCAAUAUCCUUGAUGAAGAUUGGAAAACUAAAGAAUCAUUUUCCAGUUCGUGUGUUUUUAAUUGGUUAACAACGGAAUAUAUGAAAGAACGCGAAGAAGAUUCUAUUGACUUGAGCAUCUAAGAACUGGGGAAUUAGAUACAAUUAAGAUAGAGAAAAAUGGAAACAAAAUAUCUAUCCUGGUUAUUUGCUCGAUUAGAUGGUCCCACCGACGAAUUUGAAAAAUUCGGAACCGAAAGGAAAAGGUUUGUACUUGCUUCAAUACUUGCUAGAGUCUGGUGGCAAGACACAGUGUCUUGGCCUCGGCAGGACCACUUCAUCCCAUUCGUUUUGACUCCUCUAAUAAUGACUGCCACUUGUUUAUAUUCUCUCAGGUACUUAUCUUGACCUAACUAUUUAUUCUCUACUUUGCAUUUACAUUCAAUUGAUUAUGACUCUCCAAUAUAUCCCUCUUAAAGCUCAAUUUGAUCGUUUUCAAGGCGUGUUUUUCCGGUAUCUGUUGUAUAUAAAUGUUCUAUUUUUGUCUUGCUGUCCAUAAACAUUUAAAAUGAAGUGUAUAUGCUUAUACAUCAAUUGUGAUGCAAAAAUUCUAAAUCUAAAAGGUCCUGUUUUAAAAUAUAUAUAUAUGGUAAUUGAGAAUUCAGAGUCCUAUGUCUUGAAACGUUACUGUUAGGAUAUUUAUAAACAUCAUAUUAUGCAUAUAAUAAAAUUUACAUUUGUCCUU